Molecule: ribosomal RNA, 213 nt
Filed under: Campeiostachys nutans
Lineage: Eukaryota; Viridiplantae; Streptophyta; Magnoliopsida; Poales; Poaceae
Description: Elymus nutans partial small subunit ribosomal RNA
Source: RNAcentral
GGGUUCUACCGUUGGUCAGGCUAUCCAGUUUGUACUAGCGUGUAGAAUUCCUACCUUCUGGAGAACCAUCAUGUUAUUAAUGUAGCGUGGUGGGAAACAGUAUCUUUACCUUGAAAAAAUUAGAGUAUUCAAAGCAGGCUUACGUCUGAAUACAUUAGCAUGGAAUAAUAAAUAGGACGGUGGUCCUGUUUUGUUGGUUUCUGAAUCACCAUA